GUAGGGUGCAAGCGUUAUCCGGAAUCAUUGGGCGUAAAGAGCUCGUAGGCGGUUCAGCAAGUCGGCUGUGAAAUCCCGAGGCUUAACCUCGGAACUGCAGUCGAUACUGCUGUGACUAGAGUCCGGUAGAGGAGAAUGGAAUUCCCGGUGUAGCGGUGAAAUGCGCAGAUAUCGGGAGGAACACCAGUAGCGAAGGCGGUUCUCUGGGCCGGUACUGACGCUGAGGAGCGAAAGCGUGGGGUAGCAAACAGGAUUAGAUACCCUGGUAGUCCACGCCGUAAACGUUGGACACUAGGUGUGGCGUUCCGACCAACGGGUGCCGUGCCGAAGCUAACGCAUUAAGUGUCCCCGCCUGGGGAGUACGGCCGCAGGGCUAA
This 377-nucleotide ribosomal RNA is filed under the name uncultured organism. RNAcentral describes it as "partial 16S ribosomal RNA". It matches the Rfam family "Bacterial small subunit ribosomal RNA", at positions 527 to 897 of the family's 1533-position model. The record is from RNAcentral.